Molecule: long non-coding RNA, 2605 nt
Filed under: Gossypium raimondii (Peruvian cotton)
Lineage: Eukaryota; Viridiplantae; Streptophyta; Magnoliopsida; Malvales; Malvaceae
Description: long non-coding RNA (GRAI_LNC007237)
Source: RNAcentral
UUGUUGCUCUCUUGACCAGAUUUAUGUCGGGGCAGUUGUCGUGCCCAAGAAAUUUGGGGGGAGGAUAAAAUCGAAAACCUGGAACCUGAAAUAAAUAAAUAAAAUGUGUAAAAAGUAAAAGCUGAAAAUAAAUAAUAAAAAGCAGUUAAAUAAAUCUGAAGAAAAAUUAAUUAAAAUAAGCUCAGCUUUAGGCACGGAUUUUUCCUCGUCUUUGAACCGAUCCUCGAAAUUAGAUGAACUCCUCUUUUCCAAUAAGCUAGUUAUAGCUACCAAGGACGCCUCGGACACCAACUCUUCCUUGUGUAAAUUAGUUAUGGAACGUCCAAUAACUAACCCUUACCAAUCGAACAACCACGAAACGUUUGUGAUUUAGAACUCCGACAGCCUUGCGUUCUAGAAGAGCCUAGCUCGAACCAAUGUCCUCAACCGCGUGGGACAUUUAAAUCCGGUUACUACUUCCCUUGACGGAACCAAACAGCUAUCUCCACUUGGCACGCCAAUGUGUUCACAGAAAACCGAUUAGGAACGUUCCUUUCGGAAUUCCAACUGUACAUCUAACUACACUAACUCAAACGACGUCUUUUUUGACUUAGUGUUGAUCGGACUUUAUGAGCUGACAAAAUCAUACUCUUAAUCCAGAGAAAUAAUAAGUACUAGAGUUUAGGAAUUAAUUUGCUCGGGUUCGUAACUCAUGGGUUUUGACGAGGCUAAUUCCGCCCUAAAGCUGAAAUGGAUACUUAAUAAAAAAAAACUUGGUAAUUAAAAACUUGAUUCAAGACUUGAUGAUAAAAAUGAACAAAGUAGUCUACUAUUUAUACUAGUGGCUUUGCUAAAUUAAGAGCCAACUAGUAUAGAAAAUCAAGGAAUAAAAUAUUAAAAAUCCCUACAUAAUCUCCCACUAAGUCAACAAAAAUUUCAGCUAAUUAAUCUUGGAAAAAUUUUGCUUUGGCCCUCCUUCUUUGCUCCUUUCUUCAAUCUAGCCCAAUUGUUUCCUUUUUCUUCUAUUUAGCCCCAAAUUGCACCCCUGCACAAAAUUCAACAAAAACAUGGAAAAAUUAGUGGUGCACUCUCAUAAAUUAACCAAUUUAAUUACAUAAAAUAUGUAACUUUAGCAUUUAAUCAUGCACCGCCCUUACCCACAUCAAAGACCUCAUUUUAGAGUGGUACAACGUUGAAACUAGAUUCAUCGAUGUUAUGUUGAAAACUUUAUUGUUCCGAACUAACCACAUGGUCCAACAUGAUACCGAAAUCGCAAUCAACCAUAAAAUUUUUUGAAACCCUUUCAAAACAAAAUUCCUCUCGUAAAGAUUUUUUUAUCUGAAAUCCCAUUAGGUGCAUAAACAUUAAUCAAGGUUCCAUCCAAAUCUUUUUCAAUCCAUUUUACUUCCCCAACAACAAAAUGUUAGAACAAAGAUAACAACCUGCUUGAAACCGAACCUUGUCCCAUAUUGUUAUUACCUCUCCAAAAUUUCCUACAACAGCCGAAAAUCAAAAUUCAAAAUAUCGUCACUCCCUACCUUCCUAAUUAUGUCCUCAAUACCCAUUACUAGCUUUGAUUCUUCAAUGAAACACAAAUCCACUCUACCUUUACAAAUUACUCUUUUCACACAAUUUUUUUGAUAUCCGAACACAUGCCCCUAAUGUCCCACAACCAAACCCCUAUUCCCCUCCCCCCCCCCAGAAAACCUCCCAUACACAGUAUAAAAUUACAACUACAAUCGAUACUAACCUGCACAAUGGCCUACAGACCCCUGCUCUUUCCUUUGUUGCUCUGAUCUACCUCUCUUCUAGUUUCAUAAUCUCAUCCACAACUUCUAACUUGUCACCUCAAACACAGAACCGAAGUUUUUUUCCACUUCCCAUGCGUUCCUAGCCUCCCUAAGAAUCACUCUCUUUCUAUUGUUGCUGUCAGAGUCGAAGAGAGAGGCGUUAACAACAACCUCCCCUUUGGAUGUGGUUCUUUUUCAUUUUUUCUUUCUCAACGUCCGAUCUCACUUCUUCUCUGCUACAGAAAUGAUUCUAUCUUGAAUUUCAUACAUCGAUCUAAUCUUUCGACCAGGGGUUUUUUGCUUCUUAUGUUUAAGAAAAAUUAGAGAUUCCCCCUCUGAAACCUUUUUUUCUCUGUUUGUUUCUCCCCUACCAAAACUCUAGAUCUUUUAAUAAGAAUACUACAAUCUGGUUCCCCCUGACUCUUUGGAGUUGCCUAUCUGUAAGCCCAAAUCUACCAUUAAGCCCACACCCUACUCAAUUUCUCUUUACUCAUCUUUUUGCUCCCUCUAUAGUUUCCAAUCCUAAUAUAGCUACUAAAAAGCCCAUGUUACUCACAUUUUCCAUGGCUCGAUUGCUAUACCCGCUUUUAUCCUUCUCUCCCAAACUAGGUUCAACCCUCUUUCCACUUAUCUGUUCCUCUUCCAACCUUAACAUAUUUUGUAAUGUAUUUUUACAUCCAUCGUUAUGGUUUGAUUUUUCGAGGAUAAACAUAUUAAUUGCUUCGUCUUCCCAACCUAGUCUCUCCUCUGAAGCCUUUUCUGAUCCAGGUCUCUUCACCGAUUCAGAUUAUGAUACGAUUUUGUCUUUCUUAUCUUGUGCUGAUUUCUCGUUUUCU